CCUGUUAUUUGCAUUUUGUAUAGUUUAGCUUUUAGUUUGUUGUCUAUGGCACCUUUGUAUCCACUACCAAUCCAUAAAUAAUGAAGUUCAUCAAAUUUCAUGCUAAUUGGAUAAUCCAUUUUUAAGUCUUCCAACGGUUGGCGUAAAAGUUGUAUACCAUCAUAGCUAAGAAUGUGGAAUGCAGUAUUAGCUGAAUCUAACACAAUGAUUUUUGCAAAUUCUG
RNAcentral lists this long non-coding RNA (223 nucleotides) under Mytilus galloprovincialis (Mediterranean mussel). Lineage: Eukaryota; Metazoa; Mollusca; Bivalvia; Mytilida; Mytilidae. The record is from RNAcentral.